Molecule: ribosomal RNA, 551 nt
Filed under: Klebsiella pneumoniae
Lineage: Bacteria; Pseudomonadati; Pseudomonadota; Gammaproteobacteria; Enterobacterales; Enterobacteriaceae
Also listed under: 3 other names
Description: partial 23S ribosomal RNA
Rfam family: Bacterial large subunit ribosomal RNA
Source: RNAcentral
ACAGUGUCUGGUGGGUAGUUUGACUGGGGCGGUCUCCUCCCAAAGCGUAACGGAGGAGCACGAAGGUUAGCUAAUCCUGGUCGGACAUCAGGAGGUUAGUGCAAUGGCAUAAGCUAGCUUGACUGCGAGCGUGACGGCGCGAGCAGGUGCGAAAGCAGGUCAUAGUGAUCCGGUGGUUCUGAAUGGAAGGGCCAUCGCUCAACGGAUAAAAGGUACUCCGGGGAUAACAGGCUGAUACCGCCCAAGAGUUCAUAUCGACGGCGGUGUUUGGCACCUCGAUGUCGGCUCAUCACAUCCUGGGGCUGAAGUAGGUCCCAAGGGUAUGGCUGUUCGCCAUUUAAAGUGGUACGCGAGCUGGGUUUAGAACGUCGUGAGACAGUUCGGUCCCUAUCUGCCGUGGGCGCUGGAGAAUUGAGGGGGGCUGCUCCUAGUACGAGAGGACCGGAGUGGACGCAUCACUGGUGUUCGGGUUGUCAUGCCAAUGGCACUGCCCGGUAGCUAAAUGCGGAAGAGAUAAGUGCUGAAAGCAUCUAAGCACGAAACUUGCCCCG